UCCCGCAAUCGCACUUGAUCUGGCCGAAAAUAAGCCAAAACGGCAAUACUGAUGUACAUAUACCCAGUGGCGACGACCUGAAUGAGGUCUGUUGAAAUAAUGCAUUACAUACGACAAAAAAGUAAUGCAUAACCUAUGAACAUUUUUUUCAGCGCAUUUGUAAAUAAAAAGUGCUACUCAUACGACAGAAUCGAGCUCUUGUCAACUUCGCUUCUGUAUGCCCCUUCCCCGCUAACCAACAAACGAUUUUCGUCUUUCAUUGCGUCGCGACGAAAUCGCCGAAUUUCGUUUUGGACUUUACCGUUUUUUGCAUGGAAUGCGUGCCUUCUUUCGUUUGGUUUUUUUGUCUAUGCCUAUUCCUUUUGUGUGUAUAGUGUUAAUGAGUGUAAAUACAAGUUCAAAAAUGCAUAUGUGUGAUGAUUUCUGUUUUCGUUUUACCCGCCGCGGCGCGUCACUUUUCUGCUAUUGUUGAGCCGUGCGGACGUAAAUUUAAAGGGAAGUAUCUGAUGCUAUAAAAACCGAAGGGUCCACUAAGAAGACCUAUGUAUAUAAGUACAAUAAGAAACUGCUUUCGGGUCCAGAAAGGUCGACUGGCAAAGCAGAAGUUCGAUAAUAAGGACAAACUAGAUAAUAAGACAUAGCUUUAGAUUUAGAUGUAGAUAGAUAUAAUAAAAUAGUAAUAAUACAUAGUUUAAGACUAUACAUUUAUUUAUAGAUAUUAAGAAAUAAUAAAUAAUAAUUUUUAAAUAUUAAAACAAAAAAUACUACAUUACUCAAGCGUUUCUAUCUUUCAAUUAGUAAUCAAUUAUUUCUCCAAUUACAUUGCAUUAAGAAGUAAGCCAUUUUAUAUAGUGGGAAAAAUGGGUUGCAGGUAUAUUGUGUUGUAAUGUACGCACAUUACUAACCCAUAAGCGAUUUUGAAAAUGUAUAAGGCGUUUUCUUCAGGUUGCGGAAUUUCUACAUUACAAUAUUUAAAAAGUAUACGCAUGGGUAAUGGAGAGCCGAAGGAAACUUCGUCACCUCAUUACUUUCUGCAUUACAAAAUCCAAUAAUUUCAGGCACCCGGGAGAAAAAGCGGCCAUUCCUUAAAAAAGUAAGGCAGCUUGUAAUCGAUCUUUUCAUGCACACAGGCGACAAGUAAUCCAUGAGUAAUGGACAAAA
Molecule: long non-coding RNA, 1161 nt
Organism: Drosophila mojavensis
Lineage: Eukaryota; Metazoa; Arthropoda; Insecta; Diptera; Drosophilidae
Exons: 2
Source: RefSeq, a predicted model, not a curated record